ACGAGUGGAAGGCUAGAAAAGAGUCGCCAACCUGCUUCCUGCUCCCUCCACCUGCAGGCCAUCCCGCCCCGGCACCCGCAGGCCCCUCGGGUCUUCGCAGCCCGCUUCUUCCUCUCAGGCCAUCGCAGGCCUCCCUGCCGCCCGUGUGCCCGCCUCGGCGGUCUCACAUCGCGCUCACCGUUCACCAGCGCCGGGGUCUUCUCCACAAGGUUACGGACAAAUUGGGCCAUGGUUCUGGAAUGGAGAGUCCGUCGCCCCGAACCGCCGGCUGAAUGUCACCCGCCGGAAGGACCCGCUGCAGGACCCCGUCCCACUUCCAAGGUUCAUUUCCUGUUGAGCAGUUAGAGCAUGUGCAUUAUUUCCUCACAUGACAUCAACAGUGCAGCAUCAGCCUCUGGCAUGUAAAGGCACCCAGUAGACUUAUGCUCUGUGCAAUGGCUGCUUAGCAACCACCAUCAAAUAAAGUAAUGAAGCUUU
Molecule: long non-coding RNA, 477 nt
Organism: Homo sapiens (human)
Lineage: Eukaryota; Metazoa; Chordata; Mammalia; Primates; Hominidae
Source: Ensembl